UCCAAGCUGGGUCCUGUGCCAGG
RNAcentral lists this microRNA (23 nucleotides) under Equus caballus (horse). Its description in RNAcentral is "eca-miR-8963". The record is from miRBase by way of RNAcentral. Lineage: Eukaryota; Metazoa; Chordata; Mammalia; Perissodactyla; Equidae.